Molecule: long non-coding RNA, 831 nt
Organism: Neocloeon triangulifer
Lineage: Eukaryota; Metazoa; Arthropoda; Insecta; Ephemeroptera; Baetidae
Exons: 3
Source: RefSeq, a predicted model, not a curated record
AAGCAUGCCUAAACACAAAUAUAAAUAAAUAAUACAGGUUUGUGAAAUGUAAAUAAAAGAGAGGGAGGAAAAGAAACAGAAGUGAAAACAAAAGAUAUGGGACACACUUUGACGGACACACACGUACAUUUGGCUCCAGUCGGCUGAAGUCGCAGAGAGUUAAGGUUGAAAUUCAAGUUGAGGAAAGUUGGCCUAGCUGCAAUGGAGAAGACGACACCAGAAUUAAGUCGAGCAAGCGCAAAAUGAAGGAGCAAUAGCGUGCUCGUUGAGUCGAAUCUGAGAGGUGCAGGCAGAGUAUAGACAGAAUAUAUAUGACAGAGUCAUCAAUGGCCAAGGGUGGAGCGGUGGUUCAGGGGCCUACCUGAUAUAUCUAACAAAAGGAAAAGAAACACAACGAAACAGGCAACUUACCGAGGCCGAAGGGUUUACUGGACAACGGAGUGGUUGCCGAAGUGCUAUUCAUAUUCGAGUCCAGGUCAGGCUUAAAACUGCCCAGACCUGAGCGAACACUGAUCUCACGCAAUGGCCCGCUCAGUUCCGCGGCCAGGUCUGCAAAACUCUCAGACCGAGUUGGUCCGUCGGACAAAUUGAAGAGCUGUAACGAAAAGAAAGAAACAAUUAAUUUAUGAUAAAAAAGAUGCGAAAUAAACACAUGCCUGUGAGAAGUUGGGAACGCUGGCCGUCUUUCUCAUGAGAGGCCGUCCCUGAGCCUGAAGGAGUUCUUUAACAGCAACGUUUUGCCUCAGCCUGUCGAGAGUGAGGAUCGACUCAACUGCACUGACUCCUCUGGUGUAUUGUUCUGAAGAAGAAUUUUUAAUUAAUUUUAUAAUU